Molecule: long non-coding RNA, 685 nt
Organism: Bos taurus (domestic cattle)
Lineage: Eukaryota; Metazoa; Chordata; Mammalia; Artiodactyla; Bovidae
Source: Ensembl
GUCUGAGCAAGCUCUGGGAGUUGGUGAUGGACAGGGAGGCCUGGUGUGCUGCAGUCCAUGGGGUCCCAGAGUCAGACAGGACUGAGCGCCUGAACUGAUCUUUUAAUUUAAUGCUUAGAAUAACCACUAAGGUCUGCUCCCUGAUUUUCCCAAAGGAACGACUCUUAACUUCCUUUACAUGUGAAUAGGUGAAUCUGAUUUCACUUUGAACUGCAGACAUAGCCAAUCAAAACAUUGUAAACCUCUGGCUUCAGUGAUAGAUUCUGGACAUCUGAACCAUAUGUUGAUAUCUAGGCCAGUGUUCUUGCCUGGAGAAUCCCAUGGACGGAGAAGCCUGGUAGGCUGCAGUCCAUGGGGUCGCACAGAGUUGGACACGACUGAAGCGACUUGGCAGCAGCAGCAGCAGCAGGCCAGUUGAAUCAAAAGAAACAGAACAGUUCUGGAGCUGGGUAGGAGUCAAUUUCUUUCUGUUGGGAUUGUUGUGAAUGUAGAAUAUAAGCCUGGGGUUUCGAGCACCUAUCAUAAAUGAUGAACCUACCUGACAAUAAAACUAACAUAGACAAAUGAGAGCAUUUGACUCACUUGAGUCACUUCCAUCUAGCUGAACCUAAAAAUAAUCUACCCUUGAAUUUUUUUCAUAAUGUGAGUCAAUCCCCUGCCUCCACUUCCCACUUUCUUGGGGGAU